ACGGCAGCUCCAGCACCUCCUCGGGGGAGUGGUACGAGAAUGUGCAGGAGACGGAGCCCCCUGGAGACCCCUCCUCACAUCCUGGCUGGUCAGAUCCAUCCUGUCCCUCGGGGGAACACGUGGAGGAUCCCGACUUUUCCGAGGGCAGCGACUACGACGACAUCCAUGGCUCUGCCUACUGAGCCUGUCCCACCACUCCAGAGGCCAAAUCUCCUGGAAUUCUCUGGCCAUCUCCUCCAGAAUUCUCCAACUGUCUCCUCUGAGCUGCCAAUAAAAUUAAAUAAUUCC
Molecule: non-coding RNA, 288 nt
Organism: Sturnus vulgaris (Common starling)
Lineage: Eukaryota; Metazoa; Chordata; Aves; Passeriformes; Sturnidae
Source: RefSeq, a predicted model, not a curated record